This 84-nucleotide non-coding RNA is filed under the name Sodalis sp. TME1. Lineage: Bacteria; Pseudomonadati; Pseudomonadota; Gammaproteobacteria; Enterobacterales; Bruguierivoracaceae. The record is from RNAcentral.
CUCUAUGGUGGGCUGGAUGGGGGAGCCGAAAGGCUCGCCGGCGGUUACUCCGGUAAGGUCAACCUCGUCCAGUCCACCACCCAA